RNAcentral lists this long non-coding RNA (892 nucleotides) under Pan troglodytes (chimpanzee). RNAcentral describes it as "lincRNA". Lineage: Eukaryota; Metazoa; Chordata; Mammalia; Primates; Hominidae. The record is from RNAcentral.
GACAUUGGACUGGGGAGGAGGAAGCACAACUUUAUUUUCUGGCCCGAAGCUGGGUUGGUAUUUGGGGGAGUUCUUGGGAACACAGUGUGUCUGUGCAAUUUCAACCCUGGGGGAUCCAGGGGACUCCAGCCAUCCCAGAGGAGAUAAACCUGCCAGUAAUUUCAGCAAAUGAAACGUGGAACACGUCAAGGCCAGAGGAUGGAAAAGGCUCCAGUUUUGAUAAAAGGAGGCCUGCUUGGCUUGGAAUCCUCUCUCCUGCUGGUUGGGAGAUGCAAAGAUGUUUCCAGAGAGGGGCUGAUGAAUUGAGGGGAAAGAAAUGAGCCCAGUAUGAGUCCCCUUUCAGGGCUGAGCGGGUAUAAAACCAAACAACUUGGAACCGCUCCAAGAGAGGGGAUUAAAGCAACAUGUUAUUCUGAGUGAUUGCUUAAUUUAUUGAGCUGCGGCUGGAUCUGUAAUGAAAUACAGCCCUUGUAACUGAUAACCUCCUGCUGCCAUUGAACUUCUACAAUUAAGGAAUAUUUUCUGAGUUUCUCUGGAACGGCUCUGAAUUUUUAGCCUCUGUGGUAGGGUGCUUCUGAACAUUUGUUUUCCAGGCAAUUUUUUUUUAGUAUUAGGCUGAUGUUAAUAAAUAAGCAGCAUUUUAUUGAGUGUUUUGUGGGAACCAGGAACUUUAUAUACAUUGUUUCUAAUCCUGACACUAAUCCUGUCAAUAUCCAGUGAAAUAACUCCUAUUAUUCCCUAUUUUACAGAUGUGAAGCCACGGGAUGUUAGGUCAUUUUCUAGAGUGGUGCUGUCCAAGACAGUAGCUGUGAUGGCUCCUUGUGGCUAUUGAUGUGUAAAUUAGUUAAAAUUAAAUAAAUUUUAACAUUUACACCCUAGGUUGCACUAACAA